Molecule: long non-coding RNA, 3802 nt
Organism: Gymnodraco acuticeps
Lineage: Eukaryota; Metazoa; Chordata; Actinopteri; Perciformes; Bathydraconidae
Exons: 2
Source: RefSeq, a predicted model, not a curated record
ACCGGCCCUGCUUUCUGAACCCGUCACCGCUCCAGCAGUGGAGCUCUGUUCAACCCCUCCCACGCCCAUGCAGCAGUCUCACGAAUUAAUGCCCCAGUCCUCUCCACCUGCAGCACCCCCCUCCCAGCCACCGGAGACCACUGGUACCCAUACAGCAGCAGCAUCACGAGGGCUCCAGUUCAGUAGGUAUGCUGAGAAGAAGCAGAAACUCUGCACCCUCGCCCUCCCCCGCAGGAGUACCGCCGCCGGGCCAGCCACCCAUCUUCCCCCUCCUACUGUGCAGAAACCCUGCAUCACUGUGGAGGUGUGCCCCCAACAUAACGUUUCCUGCCACCGGGCCUUGGAGAGGGAAGAUGAGCUAGUAGCUGGUGUGAUGGGCUUCUCACCCAGAACCCUGGCCGUCCCACCACAACAACACCCCAAUGCUUUAGGGCCAUAUUAGGAGUGCUAACACCCCAUGACGAUGUACGACAAUAACGCUAAUGCACAGAUCGCUCACCAUGACUGGUGGCACUCGCAAGAAAGAAACAUGAUGCCAGAGCAACUGGUGGCAGAAAGGACAGAGAGAUGAAGGAGGGAACUGGAACAACAGAGGCAAAUUCAUGAAAAAGAGCUGGAGAGGGAGAGAGAGAGGGAAGGGAGAGAGAAGGGAGGCACAGAUUCAGGAAGAGAUGAACAGAGAGAGGCAGCAGGAGCUGGUGAGGAGCCGAGCCAGAGAGCAGCAGCACCUGCAGAGUUUAGUCAACCCUCCUCAGGCUGGUGAUGUCAACGACACCUGGCCGAAACCUGCCCAACCGUCAGUCUCAGGGUGGCGGGGGAGGAAGAGGGUCUCUACAGCACCCUGGAGGGCCACACAGGGGCUGGCUGUGCAGUUGGAUGGGAUGCAAAGAAAGGACACAUAAAUGAGAAUACAAGUCCUAAUCCCUGUUUUGGUAUUCAGCUGAAACCUAAUCCAAUCGCCCAAACCCAAUACAACCUCUAGGGUCUCCAGGAAACCAGCUCUUAAGAGGACCGGGCGUCUCAGCUAGCGGAUGAACGCAGUGGAAUGAGCACAGACGAGGAGACCAAUACCGACAUGCUCAUGGGUCGUUACUGGAGUCGCAUGGAGAGAAGGGAACACUUUCUGUUGGCCCGUGAGCAGAAGCAGCAGCAGAUGCAGGCCAGAGGAGCGACUUUACGAGACACAUUGCCAGGGGAGGAACCAUCGCUGGAGGAGGAGGAGUCUCUGUUGGAGAAGGCUCUAUGCUGGACAACAGAGGAGGCGGAGCUUUUGCAGAAGGGAGGUGCAACACGGUGCUGGAGCUGAGUCAGAGGAAGCUCAGUCGUCUGAGGAACAGGAAGCUUUUGGAUGACCUGGACGACCAGUAGAGGAGCUGUUGACUCAUGGGACCAGGCUGAACAAUGAGGACAGGCUGUGUACCAGCUCCCUGCUGACGGUCACCACCGUCUAACUGCAUGGGCACCACGUUCUAAAUAUAACUCCGACAUGGCAUGAAUGCAGCAUAAGAUUCUCUGUUCAUGGCACAAGGCUCCCUGUUCCUGCUGGUGUCUUUACUGUUGGCAGGAUGUUUACAGAUCUACCUACCCAGGGUAACAGCUUAUGCAUGCUACUGAAAUCUCAAGUGAUGCGUUGACUGUGUGGAGACAAUUUCAAAGAAAGAAGAUAAACUGCAAGUCAACUAUAGGCUACGUUAGUUUGUCCAGGCUGCUGCAGCAUCAUGUACAGUCAGGACAGACAGCACUCAAGUCAGCGUUGACAUUCCAGUAGAGGCAGGUACAGUGUGAGUACAUCUGAAAUCUACUAAUUCCAGUCUGCAGUUCGGGAAAAUGUGCAAUAAUACCUCAAGCUACUUUUACAAUGACAGUGUUGUUGUGUGUGCACUUCCUGUCAGGUGUCCAUCAAUGCAGUAACUCGUUUAAAUCAAACAGAUGCACAAACAUGACGAGUCACCGCAAGUGCACAGUAAUCCUAGAAUCAAAAUGUCAAGAGCAACGGUUAUGUACAUAUUUACAUUAUUUCUUUACAUCGUUUUCCAUGAGAGGGACCUAAGAAAACAACUUUUUGCACAUCAUUUUUUAUACGAAACGUUUUCCCUACCUUUCUGUACCAGGGACUAAGGCCAGUGGAACGACUGUAGAUAGAACGACUGUGUGUUGAUGUUUCUUUAUAAACUAUCAUAGUGAUUUAUGAAGGAAAACACAUGUUUAUUGUCAUUGUGUUGGACAUAUUUCAAUAUUUUUCUUGUGGUAGAUUCAAACCAAUGUUUUAUGACUUUUAAAUCUACUUAAUUUAUUAAAAAGCUGAAGAAACUUUGAUUUACCAUUUUCGAAGAGUGAACACAGAAUGUGAAUAUUAUUGUCUCUUUGAAUGGCUAAAUUGAAUUUUAUUGUUGUUUUGUGUCAUUAUGACAUGUACAUAUUGAUUUUGUCAGAAGGCGCAGAUGAGGUUUGAGUUAGUAAUAGGACAUGCUGGUGCCACCAGACACCUCCAGUGGUUUAUCAUGUGACUCUGUAGGGUUAUACAGUCGCUGUGUUAUGGAGGCUGUGUAUACAGCACAGAGAUUAUUGUAGUAUUAGUACAUUUAACACUCACAAUAUGGUCAACGUUCAUGGAAAGUAGUUCAGUUUGUUCUGAAUGUUAAAUGUGGCAUCCAUGAAUUAUAAGUAGGCUCACUGACACUGUAAUGCCUAAAGGAGCACUACAACAUUUGAGAUGAAUCUUCUUUCUCUCUGUCUUUUCCAGAGUCAUAUGAUUUAGAUGGAUAUCAGUCUCAUCUCUGUGUAUGGGGGAUAGGAAUAAGGUACACAGGGAUAGGUCCAUACAUGUUUAGCAUUGGUAAGCAGGAAUACUAGUGGCAAAAAACUCACAGCAGCCAGUGUUAUAUGUUUAAUCUUAAUAAUUAAACAUGUGUAUCAAUAUAAAAAAAUGGUGGUAUUACCAGAUGUAUUGAAAAACAGUGGAGUAUAUUUGUAUUCAAAACUAAACUGCUUUGAGCAUCAGCAUGGUAAUAUGCUCACAAUUCACAUGGUGAUGUUUAGUAGGAAAUGGUAACCAUGGUUACUUUCCCAGUCAAGCUAAUACCAUUAGUAAAACAGACCUAAACAAAAACAGACAUAUUUGAAUAUCCGAACAUCAGAGAUGUGAUAAGAUAUUAAUCUUAGAGAUCUGGAACCAGGCGAAGCUGGGCGUAGUGACAGAAUAUUCUUUCCUUAUGGUAGAGUUAGGAUUAAGAAAGCAAAUUGUUUAAAUUAGACAGCUGUGGAGUUCUUGAAAGCCUGAGCUAGGUUAGCAGUCUUUGUGCUGACCUCAGCACAUCCUUGGCCCUUCCAUGGACAGGAAUCACAGAGAGGAAACUGAUAUCCAUCCUCUAAGAUAAUUUACAGAAAUGUCAAACUGUUUGUUUAAAACACUCAGAGGGAAAAGACGUGGAAUCUGAUGUUUCCACAUUUCCCCUCUCUCUCCCGGCUGUGACUCAAAGAGUCUGAAUAAUGGAUGACGAAGAAAGAAUUGUUCCUUUUCACCCGCCCCCGCCUUCACUCUUUUUGCUUACGUUACACAAGGACACUAAGAGCUGAAAAUAGCACUGCUGUCCUCAUGUGAUGUGAAAUUAAAAGCACACUGGAGCGGAGACACUUGCUGCUGGGGAUCUCAACACUUGUUUCACUCCAUCUGACAAUCCCUCCAUCCAGCCUGCAACACCACCUCCAUCUGUCUGUGCAAGGGUACUUUUCACAACAGCAAGCUUUUUGGAAUAUGAUGAUGUACAUGUGAUUGUAAUAAAGAGAUUUUAAUUAGCUAUGA